CCGGUCCCGCCAGGAUCGCGCUGGCCCCGCUCCGCUGUCGGGAGCGAUGGCAUCCGCACUGCCAGAGGGACGGAGCUGGCAGAGAGAUGACAUUCCUGCCUGGAACAGAUACAACUGCAGUGUGAAUGGAGAGCUAUCCUCAUAUGGCUGCAAGCACGCAAUGCUGAUGGGCGAGUUAAGUGUCCUUAGCCACCCCUUCUCUCUCUGCAGUAAAUUCACCUCUUGGGCACAAGGGUCCCGGAGUAUGAAGCUGCUGUUGUGCUAGUGCUGCUCCCAGCUGUGCUGCUGUCACUGUGCUGCUACAGUUGUGAGUGCUAGAACACACGCCUUAAACAGCUAGAAUACUCUUGGUGAGUCAGACAUAGUUCUGUUGCACCCCAUGCAGUAUCACUGCAGGGGAGUUUAUGACAGAAAGCAAAGAUCUCUGUGGUCUGUAGAAAUGACGCUGACAGUCUGAUAAAUGCAAUACAAGUUUCACCAGACAAAUUGAGUUAUGUGGUGACAAAUGUCAUCAGCUACUGUAUACUGCAGCACUAAAAUGUUACCUCCCUUUGCCAUCCUGCUCAGUUUGCUCUUCCUUGCUCUUGUAGAAAUCAGAAAUCAUUACAUUUAGCAAGAUGUCUACCUGCUUUUUUAAAAAAUGUUUUCUGUGUACUUUCCGUCUCUAGACUUUGUACUAGGGGUGUCUGCAUUGCUGAAAAUUGGAAAAAGCAAAUGAAAAUACUAAUAAAAUGUUUUCUGAAAUGUUUAAAAUGUAAAUUUUCUUCAAGAUUCAAUGUCCCACUGAAUAGUUAUGUAACAAUGCUUAAAUGCAGUCUUUUCUUAGUCUUUCAUUAGGCAUAAUGAAUAUAAUGUAAAGUCACAUCAAAAGAUAGUAACAUACUACUGUGAGACAAAAGCCUUGUGAGUCUUGUCAUUCAUAGGAAAUCAUGUUUGGCAGAAACAUAUUUCUUUUAAGUUUCAUUACAAAGUAAAAAAAAAAUAAAAUUAAAAUGCCGAGUAAACAGACGUCUCAUCGUGUCUGAAGGUCCACUUCCACAUCUCUGUGUCUUUUAAGAGUGUUAGGCCAGGUUCCAAGAGGGAUUCACUUUCUACUAGAACUCCAAUCCCUGCAAGAGCAUUAGGCUUACUGCCAGCAUUCAUUUAGUCUCAGAACAGCUUAAAUUAACUCCUGUUACAUUCUGUCUAAACCCUUUCUUACAGAGUAAGAGUUGAGAGCUGAGUUCAGUCAGUUAGUCUGAAGGCCACCCAUGAUGCUUGUCAGUCUUCCCGGACUUCAAAUGCUGCAUGAACUGGAUUGGGGAAGGCAGUGAUCAGCCGUUUCUUAGGUGUAGACUCCUGUGGCUGGUCUAUAAUGGAGAGAUUUAGUUGAAGUAGUCCAGAGGAUCCACAGCACAUCAGCCAUAACUUAAUUUCUGAGAAACAGAGGAGUCUGGUGGAACUAAAGCAUUCACAAGGAGGUUUCUGUGAAAGGGCAGAGGUGUGUAAGACAUGGGUAAGGUUCAUCCCACUAAAAAGAAAUGUCUACAUAUAGGUGUCUGUAUCUGAAUUUAUCUCCUUAUGCUCUUAUUAAUAGGGUAAGUAUUCAUCUCAUCAUUGUCUCAUCCCAAGAUAAAUGUUGAAGUGGCUCAGUUGAAUCUCAAGCAAAGAAAUACCUAUUAUUGGUCUUUCUGACUGUAAGGGGAACAGAGAUGACUUUUGUGCAGUUGUAAAUGUCUACACUUUUCUUUACUGUGUCUAGUUGCUGCAGAGAUUGUUGGAAAGGAACUCUUGCAAAUCUGGAUAUCAAACUUGCUGGGCACAUAUGCUGUCAGAGUUGGCAACAAAGGAGAUAAUCACACAGGGUUUGAUUAUGGAUUCCACCCUGAUGACAGAUGAAAGCAGGGACAUGUUACUUCAAGGUGCAUCUGUGGGAAGAAUGUUGCAUGGGAGAAGUUGUGAUAUCCUCACUCUCUCCCUGUGUACUAACUUGUUACUAGGCUUAUGAACAUCUGUAUUUGGGAGCACUGGAAUUUAUGUCUUUUUUGUGUCUUGACUUACAUGAAAAAUAUAUAUAUAUCCUGUCAGUCCAGACAUUACUGCUGUCAUCUGCUGCAGAGAGAGCUUGAAGGGAGCUCAAAGGUAGAUUAUCCAAUGUUCCAGAGGAUACUUGCCUACUUGCCUGUGGUAGUGGAAGGCAUUUAGGAGUGCUCAGCAUACCAUGCUAGGUUGCCCCCGAGUUUAGGUGGGAGGGAUUCUUCGAGAAGGGAGGGGGGUGACUGAUGACAGCAAAUUAUUGGUUGU
Cyanistes caeruleus (blue tit) is the source of this 2283-nucleotide non-coding RNA. The record is from RefSeq and is a predicted model, not a curated record. NCBI's taxonomy places the organism in Eukaryota, Metazoa, Chordata, Aves, Passeriformes, Paridae.